This is a non-coding RNA of Monodelphis domestica (gray short-tailed opossum), 3796 nucleotides long. The record is from RefSeq and is a predicted model, not a curated record. Lineage: Eukaryota; Metazoa; Chordata; Mammalia; Didelphimorphia; Didelphidae.
GGAAAAUCUAUAUAAAGAAAGAGAAGGACUCAUUAAGUACGGCAUGCCUAUAAAAAUAUUUUUUGGAAAAUCAUUUACAAGGAGUGAGGCAGCUUCAAUAACUUGCCAAGUCUUUCCUGCUAAAGCUCAGAAAUAAUCCGUGUCUAACAUAGUAUAUUAUGUUAAUCAUCUAUGGGUCUGGAGGAAGCAGAGACUAGAGAAAGACAAGCAUUGUUGCAAGAAUAACUUUUGGUAAAGGAUAUAUAUUAUUAUCUAUAAAUAGUGAAACCAUUUACUUUACCAGAAAUGCCUUCAAAAUGCUACAGGAAUUCUCCAUGAGAAUUCACAUUAUUCCAUUUUCCCAGAGAUACAAACAAGAGAAGCUUCCCUUCUGUCACUAAUCAUAGGUAAAGGCAUCAUGCUGUUUGGAAUUCAGUAGAGGUCCUAGCCUCAUUUAUUGCACUGAGGUAAACAGGCAACAUAAUGCUUUGGAGAGAGUGAUAAACUUGAGUCAUGGGACCAAUAUAUAUUAUGCUUUAUAUUACAAGAAGUUCCAAAUGAAUAUAUGACCUAAAUAUUAGAGAUCAUUUCACAAAGCAAUCAGAGGAGAAUGGAAGGAAGUAUCUUAAACAACUAGGCUAGGUGGAAAAUUCUUAGCUAAAUAAUAAAUUCUUAACUAGAGAGGUAGAUAAAGGAUAGAACAGACAAAUUUGAUUGCAAAAAUUGAAAAGCCUUUAAAUAAACAAAAUCAAUACAACUGAAAUAAGAAGAGAAGCAGCUAAUUGGGACAAUUUUCAUAGAAAAUAUUUCUGAUAAUCUCUGAUAUUUAAGGUAAAUAUGAAAUUGAUACAGAUAUAUAAGAACAAAAAUCUUUCUUAAUAUACGGUGGUUCAAAGUAUAUAAAGAGGACAUCUUCAAAAGAAGAAAUGCUAGCUAUCAGUAAGUAUAUGAAAAUAAUUCUCUAAAUUAUUGAUAAGAGAAAGACAAAACUUUCAUUUUCAUUUCACCCUCACAGAGUGGCAAAGAUGACAAAAGAUGACCAAAAAGUUGAAAAGAUGCUGAAGAAAUUUUGGAGGAUUAGUGGAAAUGCAGUACACCCAGAAAGCCAACUCUAUUUUAUUUUAGGAUGUGAAGAAUGCUUCGCCCACUGGAGUUUGGAAGAGAAAUAGAGUCAAGAUAAUGGCUUCAUCCUAUUACUCUGGGUCCAGUCCUAACAAGAGCCUCCUUUUAUGCAUAACCCCCAUUAAAGGCAAAGAGAGUUCUGCACUCAGAACUAAAGGGGAAAACAACACACCAAGAGUGGCCAAUUAUAGGUAAGUAGGCCUUGUAAACAUCACAGGGACAUAUGGUACAGACACAGCUGCUUACUGAGAUAUGGUUUUAAGCAUCCAGGCAAGCAGAGCCAGCCGGAUACCCGAAAGCAGAUUGUACAUGAAUGCGAGUCUUUGGCUCCCCUUACCUGGCUUUGUCAAAGCAAAGGAAGUAGCAACAAGUAAGAGAAAGGAUCAUUCCUUCAUUCAAGAGCUAUCUAUUGAGUGUCUACUCUUUGCAAGGUAUUAUGAGGAAGAUAAUAGGAUUAAAUAAACCAUGCUCUUGCUCAGAAUGACCUUGCAGGUUAUCAAGGAAGGAUGGCUUUGGCAUCUGGGAUCUGGCUGUGCAACUUACUACCAAAGGGCCAUAUUGGAUGAAUCACUUGACCUCCCUAGGGCUCAGUUUCUCAGAUGUAAAAAGAGGUACUUGGACAAGAUGAUCUUUUAUGUCCCUUCAAGUUUGUAAUCUAUGAUCCUGUAACCUGAUUGACUGAAAAAUGGGCAAAGGAGAAGAAAUAAUCAAAGAGGACUCCAUGGUGAUUUGGAAAAAAAUGGAAACAGUGUUAGGGAAGAGAGGAGAAGCCCAUUUGGAGGUGGCAGAUGAUUGGUUUUGGACGAGGUGGGUUUGUGGUGCCAGUGGGACAUGCUGCUAAGACUUUCUGGAGAUAAAGAUUUAGGAACUAUAUAAUUAUAGGGAAGGGUUGAAGUCAAGUUAGUUGAUGAGCUUGUUAGUUGAUGAGCUUGCCAAGGGAGAGAUAUAGGAGAGAAGGAAGAAGGUGGAGCCUUGGAAAAAAUGGCUACAUCUCAAGGGCUAUUUUCUCUCAAGUCUUCCAUAUUGUACCUUGCUAAUCACACAUUGCUUUUUAUUCUGCUUUUGAUCUGGUUUACAUAAAUCGUUACAACAUCUUUCAGUUAUAUAAUUCCCGAGAGGCAGUGAAGUUCAGUAGAUAAGAAAACUGGCCCUACAGCCUGGAAGAUCUCAGUUAAAGUUCCUCCUCUGACCCUUAGCAAGGCACUUGACCUCAGUGUCCCAGAAAACUUUCUUAGAAUAAGUUAUUGUAAGUACCACGUUGCCUUGGUAGAAAGAGAAUUCUCAUGUGGGAAGCUGAUAGACCAGUGAAAUCACAGGUCCAAGUCCUAACUUUAUCCUGGUAAGAACAAAAAAUGUCUACAUUUUUCAGAUGAAAGAAAUCUAGGCACAGAGAGUUAAUAAUUGGCCAGGACUUUCCCAACCUUUGUUUCUUCAUCAGUAAAAUGGUAAUAAUGCCUGCUGUACCUAUCUUUUAGUUCUUGCAAGUUGAGAUAAUGGAUGUGCAAGGGCUUUGCAAAGUAUGAAGUACUAUUCAAAUGGAAAACAUUCUAAUGUGACCUCUAACUUGGCUAAGUCAUUUGGGUAAUUUUGACUAGAGUUAGUUCUGCCUGAGUAACUCAGAUUGUGGCUAUUAUGAAGUUCUGACUUUACUAGCAUAUAAUGGAACUUCCCUCCAGCCCUCUCUGCCGCCCCCCAACCCUCCCACCUCCCAGUUCUAUCCAACUGUACAACAUUGAACAAGGGAUGAAAACUCCUUUGGCAAUCAUCAUGUACCCUCGAGCAAGGGAUCUGAUUAUUCUUAUCUUGGCAUUUGUAACUGCAAAUACUAUAAUUGGUCAUAAAAUUUCCAAACCUUUUAAAAAUCCACUACUUGACUCUAGAGUCUCUAGUUGUAAUGUUUCACUGGCUAGCAUCAUGCUGUGCGAAGAAGCAUUGCUUUUUAUUUGUGUCUUAAUUGACCCACCAUUAACUUCACAAAUGCAUCCUCCCCCUAAACUUGUCCCAAUAGAUAGCAUAUAAAAAGAACCCAUUGGUUUUUACCAUACUCAUCAUAAUUUUAAUGCUUUACUCAAAUUCCCGUUAGCAAUUCCUUUCCUAGUUUGUUUUUUCUUCUUUUCAAAAGUGGAAUUUAUCAGGCUAUCGAUUUAUGAUCAUUUCUGUUCUCCCAGACUUUCCUCCAUGUUCAUUUCAUUUUUCUUGAGGGACUUGAGAGAAAAUAAUCAUUCCAAUAAUAAAGGGUGUUUUUUUUUUCCUUCUAAGACUCUUACCUUCUGUCUUAGGAUCAAUACUGUGUGUGGUUCCAAACUAGAAGAAUGGCAAGGAUUAGGAAAGGGGAGUUAAAUGACUUGCCCAGAGUCACACAGCCAGAAGUGUCUGAGGAUCAAUUUGAAUUCAGUACCUCCUAUGUCUAAAUCCACUGAGUCAUCUAGCUGCCUUACCCCAACCAGUAAAAGUUUGAUAGCUAACACUAUUCCUUACACUGGGAGCAUAAGAUGUGUGUAUUCAGGAGGUGUGGAGAGUGUUUAAAGGGAGGGCAAAUCAUGGACUAAGAAAGAAUUUAAAGGUGUUGAGUUCUAAUCCCCAUUCUGUGCUGGUGUUCCCAGAUGCAGACAGAGGCAAAUAUACCUUCUUCAAAGUCCACUGGGGAUUUAAAGUACUAAAAAAAAAAGUCUAAGGAAAAAAGUUAAAUAAUAAA